This 254-nucleotide ribosomal RNA is filed under the name uncultured bacterium. RNAcentral describes it as "partial 16S ribosomal RNA". It matches the Rfam family "Bacterial small subunit ribosomal RNA", at positions 524 to 776 of the family's 1533-position model. The record is from RNAcentral.
GACGAACCGUGCGAACGUUAUUCGGAAUCACUGGGCUUAAAGCGCGUGUAGGCGGGACGGCACGUCGGCCGCUAAAAUCCCCCGGCUUAACCGGGGAAGGGGCGCCGAUACGACUGCCCUGGAGGAACGUAGGGGGAGCUGGAACUUCCGGUGGAGCGGUGAAAUGCGUUGAGAUCGGAAGGAACGCCCGUGGCGAAAGCGAGCUCCUGGACGUUUUCUGACGCUGAGACGCGAAAGCCAGGGGAGCGAACGGG